CGCGUAGGCGGUUAAAUAAGUCAGAUGUGAAAGCCCCGGGCUCAACCUGGGAACUGCAUUUGAAACUGUUUAGCUAGAGUGUGGUAGAGGAGAGUGGAAUUUCAGGUGUAGCGGUGAAAUGCGUAGAUAUCUGAAGGAACAUCAGUGGCGAAGGCGGCUCUCUGGACCAACACUGACGCUGAGGUGCGAAAGCGUGGGUAGCAAACG
RNAcentral lists this ribosomal RNA (207 nucleotides) under uncultured bacterium. RNAcentral describes it as "partial 16S ribosomal RNA". It matches the Rfam family "Bacterial small subunit ribosomal RNA", at positions 568 to 774 of the family's 1533-position model. The record is from RNAcentral.